CCAGCCCGCUCAGAAACUUAAAGGAAUUGACGGGGGCCCGCACAAGCGGUGGAGUAUGUGGUUUAAUUCGAUGCAACGCGAAGAACCUUACCUGGUCUUGACAUCCCGGAGACCCUUAGGAAACUAGGGGGUGCUUCCAUCUGGAAGAAUCUGGAGACAGGUGCUGCAUGGCUGUCGUCAGCUCGUGUCGUGAGAUGUUGGGUUAAGUCCCGCAACGAGCGCAACCCUUGCCUUUAGUUGCCAGCAGUUCGGCUGGGCACUCUAAAGGGACUGCCGGUGUUAAACCGGAGGAAGGUGGGGAUGACGUCAAGUCCUCAUGGCCUUUAUGACCAGGGCUACACACGUACUACAAUGGCCGAUACAAAGGGCAGCGACACUGCGAGGUGAAGCCAAUCCCGUAAAAUCGGUCUCAGUCCGGAUUGGAGUCUGCAACUCGACUCCAUGAAGUUGGAAUCGCUAGUAAUCGUGGAUCAGCAUGCCACGGUGAAUACGUUCCCGGGCCUU
RNAcentral lists this ribosomal RNA (504 nucleotides) under uncultured Desulfobulbus sp. RNAcentral's name for it is "bacterial SSU rRNA". It matches the Rfam family "Bacterial small subunit ribosomal RNA", at positions 903 to 1382 of the family's 1533-position model. Lineage: Bacteria; Pseudomonadati; Thermodesulfobacteriota; Desulfobulbia; Desulfobulbales; Desulfobulbaceae. The record is from RNAcentral.